RNAcentral lists this ribosomal RNA (497 nucleotides) under uncultured bacterium. RNAcentral's name for it is "partial 16S ribosomal RNA". It matches the Rfam family "Bacterial small subunit ribosomal RNA", at positions 28 to 507 of the family's 1533-position model. The record is from RNAcentral.
GAUGAACGCUGGCGGCGUGCCUAAUACAUGCAAGUCGAGCGAACGGACGAGAAGCUUGCUUCUCUGAUGUUAGCGGCGGACGGGUGAGUAACACGUGGAUAACCUACCUAUAAGACUGGGAUAACUUCGGGAAACCGGAGCUAAUACCGGAUAAUAUUUUGAACCGCAUGGUUCAAAAGUGAAAGACGGUCUUGCUGUCACUUAUAGAUGGAUCCGCGCUGCAUUAGCUAGUUGGUAAGGUAACGGCUUACCAAGGCAACGAUGCAUAGCCGACCUGAGAGGGUGAUCGGCCACACGGGAGCUGAGACGCGGUCCAGACUACUACGGGAGGCAGCAGUAGGGAAUCUUCCGCAAUGGGCGAAAGCCUGACGGAGCAACGCCGCGUGAGUGAUGAAGGUCUUCGGAUCGUAAAACUCUGUUAUUAGGGAAGAACAUAUGUGUAAGUAACUGUGCACAUCUUGACGGUACCUAAUCAGAAAGCCACGGCUAGCUACGUG